UACGAAGGGGGCUAGCGUUGCUCGGAUUGACUGGGCGUAAAGGGCGCGUAGGCGGUUCGUUCAGUCAGACGUGAAAUUCCUGGGCUCAACCUGGGGACUGCGUUUGAUACGUGCGGACUUGAGUGCGGAAGAGGGUCGUGGAAUUCCCAGUGUAGAGGUGAAAUUCGUAGAUAUUGGGAGGAACACCGGUGGCGAAGGCGGCGACCUGGUCCGAUACUGACGCUGAGGCGCGAAAGCGUGGGGAGCAAACAGG
RNAcentral lists this ribosomal RNA (253 nucleotides) under uncultured bacterium. RNAcentral describes it as "partial 16S ribosomal RNA". It matches the Rfam family "Bacterial small subunit ribosomal RNA", at positions 524 to 776 of the family's 1533-position model. The record is from RNAcentral.